This is a non-coding RNA of Nematostella vectensis (starlet sea anemone), 73 nucleotides long. The record is from Rfam. NCBI's taxonomy places the organism in Eukaryota, Metazoa, Cnidaria, Anthozoa, Actiniaria, Edwardsiidae.
GCCCGGUUAGCUCAGAUGGUAGAGCAUCAGACUUUUGAUCUGAGGGUCAUGGGUUCGAGCCCCAUAUCGGGCG